GCGUAUUUCGUAUAAUGGCUAUUACCUCAGCCUUCCAAGCUGAUGAUGCGGGUUCGAUUCCCGCAAUACGCUCCA
RNAcentral lists this transfer RNA (75 nucleotides) under Vibrio sp. Its description in RNAcentral is "tRNA-Gly". It matches the Rfam family "tRNA". From Rfam's summary of the family: Transfer RNA (tRNA) molecules are approximately 80 nucleotides in length. Their secondary structure includes four short double-helical elements and three loops (D, anti-codon, and T loops). Lineage: Bacteria; Pseudomonadati; Pseudomonadota; Gammaproteobacteria; Vibrionales; Vibrionaceae. The record is from RNAcentral.